This is a non-coding RNA of Pelobates cultripes (western spadefoot toad), 208 nucleotides long. Lineage: Eukaryota; Metazoa; Chordata; Amphibia; Anura; Pelobatidae. The record is from the annotation of a GenBank genome assembly.
CAGCACCUUUGCGAGUACUGUUUGCAGUGUGAAACGGGGCUGCUGGGGGAGACUUAACAUCCAUUUAGUGAAUACAAAAACAUUUAAACUUCACGAUAGUAAAUAAAUGAUACCACAAAUAACAUAAUGACUUCCUUUUACCUGGACCAUAUUGAAAAUGCAAAUCUGCCGGACCAAAGUUCUACAUCUUGGAAACGUAUAGAAGGAG